CACGGCCCAGACUCCUACGGGAGGCAGCAGUGGGGAAUAUUGCACAAUGGGCGAAAGCCUGAUGCAGCGACGCCGCGUGAGGGAUGACGGCCUUCGGGUUGUAAACCUCUUUCAGCAGGGAAGAAGCGAGAGUGACGGUACCUGCAGAAGAAGCGCCGGCUAACUACGUGCCAGCAGCCGCGGUAAUACGUAGGGCGCAAGCGUUGUCCGGAAUUAUUGGGCGUAAAGAGCUCGUAGGCGGCUUGUCACGUCGGAUGUGAAAGCCCGGGGCUUAACCCCGGGUCUGCAUUCGAUACGGGCAGGCUAGAGUUCGGUAGGGGAGAUCGGAAUUCCUGGUGUAGCGGUGAAAUGCGCAGAUAUCAGGAGGAACACCGGUGGCGAAGGCGGAUCUCUGGGCCGAUACUGACGCUGAGGAGCGAAAGCGUGGGGAGCGAACAGGAUUAGAUACCCUGGUAGUCCACGCCGUAAACGUUGGGAACUAGGUGUGGGCGACAUUCCACGUCGUCCGUGCCGCAGCUAACGCAUUAAGUUCCCCGCCUGGGGAGUACGGCCGCAAGGCUAAAACUCAAAGGAAUUGACGGGGGCCCGCACAAGCAGCGGAGC
RNAcentral lists this ribosomal RNA (603 nucleotides) under bacterium 3c110309. Its description in RNAcentral is "bacterial SSU rRNA". It matches the Rfam family "Bacterial small subunit ribosomal RNA", at positions 325 to 938 of the family's 1533-position model. The record is from RNAcentral.